RNA transcript from Erpetoichthys calabaricus (reedfish), 2757 nucleotides. It is a transcript of the gene named tripartite motif-containing protein 16-like, with no coding region annotated. The record is from RefSeq and is a predicted model, not a curated record. The transcript has 10 exons. Lineage: Eukaryota; Metazoa; Chordata; Cladistia; Polypteriformes; Polypteridae.
GAAGAGUUUCCCACACAGCAUGGCCUUUGCCAAAGAAAAUGGCAUGGAUGAAAGAACGGUGGACAUUAAAGAAGAGGACUGUGAGUGGCUCACACCAGAGGAUAUGUGUGUGAAGCUGGAGGAUCACGAAGAAAGAAUUUCAGUUUUUAAAGAGGAGGAGGAGUGCAAGGAGGUGACUGCUGCCAUUAAAGCUGAGGAUUUGAAUGAUUUCUCCGUUGGUCUUGAACUUCAAAAGCAUGAAACUGAGGAUAUUUUCAAGCAAGAGGCCUGUGAAGAAUCUCCAUCCAGUUUACAGCCCUGGUCCACUAAUUCGGGACAUCUGGCUACGCAGGAGAAUUCUGUAGAGAUGAAAUCAGAGUUAUCAGCAUCUGAAGAGAAAAUCACAGAGGGAAAUGGAAGAGAAGGAGAAGAGUCACCUGGGAGUGUUGGAAUAAAUUUACAGAAGAAUGGCAGCUUCUCUCCACCUUCAUUUGGUCAGCCCUCUCUUCAAUACAAAGCGAAAGGUAUGAAGAAAUCAGCAAGAGGAUCAGAGAUCCUGACAGCAGCCUUUUUGCAGUGCAGUUCUCUCCCUGCUACUUCAGUAACACAAACAGAAGCCAUCAAAACUGAUCAACAGCAAGUGGAGAAAGAAAUCCAAAUUCAUACUGGACAAAAAUGUUUGGAAUGUGGUAAACAAUUCACACACAAAAGUGAUCUUAAUAAGCAUAUGAAGAUUCACAAUGGAGAAAAAACAUAUUGCUGUUCAGAAUGUGGUAAGUCUUUCCAAAAGAGAAGCAAUCUUCAGAACCACAGAAGAAUCCACACAGGAGAAAAACCUCAUUGUUGUCCAGAAUGUGGUAAGUCUUUCCAAAAGAGAAGCAGUCUUCACAUCCACAGAAGAAUCCACACAGGAGAAAAACCUCAUUGUUGUCUAGAAUGUGGUAAGUCCUUCUCAAGGAAAGACAGUCUUCAUUACCACAGAAUAAUCCACACAGGAGAAAAAGCUCAUUGUUGUCCAGAUUGUGGCAUGUUGUUGUCUAGGAGAAGCGAUCUUCAGAGACACCGAAGAAUACACACUGGAGAAAAACCUCAUUGCUGUCCAGAAUGUGGUAAGUUGUUCUUGCGUAUAAGCGGUCUUCAGAGACACAGAAGAAUCCACACAGGAGAAAAGCCUCACUAUGAAGUAGCGGCCCUGAAGCACCACAAGCUGGUUGAUUCUGAUAGAAAUCUGAAGCAGAAACUCUGUGAGAAACAUCAGAAAAGACUGGAAUUGUUUUGUAAGACUGAUGAGAUGUGUAUCUGCUUGAUGUGUGGAAUGACUGAACAUGAUGGUCAUGAAAAGGUUGAGCAGAAGACAGCAAGAGAAGGAAAACAGAAACAGCUGGGGGCGACACUGAGGGGAAUUAGGAAAAGACUUGAAGAGAAAGAGAAGAAACUGAGGGAGACGAGGAAGACAGCAAAGGAGAUGAAGCUUUCUGUGGAAAGAGUGAUGUGGGAACACAAGAAGAGCUUCACUGAUCUGAUUCACUGCAUUGAGGAAGCCCACAAGAAAUUGACAGAGAGGAUCACAGAACAAGAAAAGAGAGAAAUGGAGAAGGCUGAAGGAGUCAUGAAGCAACUGGAGAAGGAGAUUGAGGAGCUGAAGAGGAGAGAAGCUGAGCUGAAGGAGCUUUCAGAGACCAAGGACCAUUUCCACUUCCUACAGACUUUCUCACCUUGCUGUGCCCUUCCUGCUGAUGGAGACUCGCUCAGCUUUACUGUCACGGCUGAGUUUUCUUCUGAGGACCUGCUAAAGGAGCUGUCAGGUCUGAAAGAGAGUCUGGAAAGGAUCAUCCAGCAGGACAUCCUGACAAGGACUCCACCAGAUCCUGAAGCUCCAAUCUUCACCCUACAGCCUCCUGAACCUCAGAGCAGAGAGGAGUUUUUACAAUACUUCUGUCCCCUCACACUGGACAUCAACACGGCACACAGAGACCUCCGUCUGUCUGAAGGGAACAAGAAGGUGACAUGUGAGGGGACAAAAGCCAAAUUUCCUGAUCAUCCUGACAGAUUUGACUACUGGUGCCAAGUUCUGUGCAGAGAGGCUCUGACUGGGACUCGCUGUUACUGGGAGGUGGAGUGCAGUGGAGACUUCAAGAAGAUUGGAGUCGCAUAUAAAGGACUUAGCAGGAAAGGACUGGGCUGGGAGUGCGGCCUUGGAUACAACGACAAGUCCUGGAGUUUGUGGUGUUCUGAUUCCCGGUACUCUGUGCAUCACAAUAACAAGCAGACUGUAAUCAGCGCCCCCUACAGCCCCAGAAUAGGUGUGUAUCUGGACUGGCCUGCUGGCUCUCUGUCAUUUUAUAGCGUCUCACACACAAUGACCCUCCUCCACAGGUUCAACACCUCCUUCACUGAGCCCCUCUAUCCAGGGUUUAGUGUUGGUCUUCACUGCAGUGUAACAAUCAGCCAUCUGACAUCAUGUGACCACUGACCAGUACCCUCCACCGGUCACUUGAUGUCCCCACAAGCUCAGGUCCUCUUUGUGUUUGUAUUUGGGGUGAAAUUAAUUUUACAGGAUGGGUGGGUUGGGGGGUCAGCACCUCUGUGAUUGAAUUUGUGGAUGAGAAUGUGGGGUUGAGUGCAGCUGUCAGGGUCUGCAUUAUUAUUGGGUUUGAGUAGCCAAUCAGGUGUGUGUGUGUCAUAAUGAGGGGCGGUGACACCUCAGACCUACAAAUACCAGUCUGACCAGCAGGGGUCACUGUUGAUUCACAGCCACAUGUCCUUCAGGCUGACACC